RNAcentral lists this ribosomal RNA (483 nucleotides) under uncultured bacterium. RNAcentral's name for it is "bacterial SSU rRNA". It matches the Rfam family "Bacterial small subunit ribosomal RNA", at positions 30 to 507 of the family's 1533-position model. The record is from RNAcentral.
AUUGAACGCUGGCGGCAUGCCUUACACAUGCAAGUCGAACGGCAGCACGGGAGCAAUCCUGGUGGCGAGUGGCGAACGGGUGAGUAAUAUAUCGGAACGUGCCCAGUCGUGGGGGAUAACGUAGCGAAAGCUACGCUAAUACCGCAUACGAUCUGUGGAUGAAAGCGGGGGAUCGCAAGACCUCGCGCGAUUGGAGCGGCCGAUAUCAGAUUAGGUAGUUGGUGAGGUAAAGGCUCACCAAGCCGACGAUCUGUAGCUGGUCUGAGAGGACGACCAGCCACACUGGGACUGAGACACGGCCCAGACUCCUACGGGAGGCAGCAGUGGGGAAUUUUGGACAAUGGGCGCAAGCCUGAUCCAGCAAUGCCGCGUGCAGGAUGAAGGCCUUCGGGUUGUAAACUGCUUUGUACGGAACGAAACGGUGAGCUCUAAUACAGUUUGCUAAUGACGGUACCGUAAGAAUAAGCACCGGCUAACUACGUG